RNAcentral lists this ribosomal RNA (348 nucleotides) under uncultured Latescibacterota bacterium. Its description in RNAcentral is "bacterial SSU rRNA". It matches the Rfam family "Bacterial small subunit ribosomal RNA", at positions 1035 to 1382 of the family's 1533-position model. The record is from RNAcentral. Lineage: Bacteria; Pseudomonadati; Candidatus Latescibacterota.
ACAGUGCUGCAUGGCUGUCGUCAGCUCGUGUCGUGAGAUGUUGGGUAAGUCCCGCAACGAGCCGCAACCCUUAUCCCCAGUUGCCAUCAGGUAAAGCUGGGAACUCUGGGGAGACUGCCGGUGAUAAACCGGAGGAAGGCGGGGAUGACGUCAAGUCCUCAUGGCCCUUACAUCCCGGGCUACACACGUGCUACAAUGGCAGGUACAGAGGGCUGCGAAGCCGCGAGGUGGAGCGAAUCCCAGAAAAACCUGUCUCAGUCCGGAUUGAAGUCUGCAACUCGACUUCAUGAAGGCGGAAUCGCUAGUAACCGCGAAUCAGCAGGUCGCGGUGAAUACGUUCCGGGCCUU